Molecule: ribosomal RNA, 490 nt
Filed under: uncultured bacterium
Lineage: Bacteria
Description: partial 16S ribosomal RNA
Rfam family: Bacterial small subunit ribosomal RNA
Source: RNAcentral
AUUGAACGCUGGCGGCAGGCCUAACACAUGCAAGUCGAACGGUAACAGGAAGAAGCUUGCUUCUUUGCUGACGAGUGGCGGACGGGUGAGUAAUGUCUGGGAAACUGCCUGAUGGAGGGGGAUAACUACUGGAAACGGUAGCUAAUACCGCAUAACGUCGCAAGACCAAAGAGGGGGACCUUCGGGCCUCUUGCCAUCGGAUGUGCCCAGAUGGGAUUAGCUAGUAGGGGGGGUAACGGCUCACCUAGGCGCCGAUCCCUAGCUGGUCUGAGAGGAUGACCAGCCAGACUGGAACUGAGACACGGUCCAGACUCCUACGGGAGGCAGCAGUGGGGAAUAUUGCACAAUGGGCGCAAGCCUGAUGCAGCCAUGCCGCGUGUAUGAAGAAGGCCUUCGGGUUGUAAAGUACUUUCAGCGGGGAGGAAGGGAGUAAAGUUAAUACCUUUGCUCAUUGACGUUACCCGCAGAAGAAGCACCGGCUAACUCCGUG